Molecule: ribosomal RNA, 300 nt
Filed under: uncultured Desulfurococcus sp.
Lineage: Archaea; Thermoproteati; Thermoproteota; Thermoprotei; Desulfurococcales; Desulfurococcaceae
Description: bacterial SSU rRNA
Rfam family: Bacterial small subunit ribosomal RNA (bases 61-300)
Source: RNAcentral
GGCGGUCGACGGUCACGGUGGCGCGGUAGUGCGUAGCGGGGGAGGGUUGUACGGAGGCAGUGGGGGUAAAGGCGGCGGAGGUGGCCCCGGAGGUGCGGUGUGAAAGUCAAAGGCGCAACCUGUGAAAGCCGGUGGGUAAUGUGGGGCUAGAGUCCGGAAGAGGGGAGUGGAAUGCCUGGUGUAGCGGUGGAAUGCGCAGAUAUCAGGAGGAACACCAAUGGCGAAGGCAGCUCGCUGGGACGGUACUGACGCUAAGGCGCGAAAGCGUGGGGAGCGAACAGGAUUAGAUACCCCAGUAGC